GUUGCUUUAGAAAUAUCCGAUAAAACUGAAAUGAUAUAGAGAAGAUUAACAUUGUCUCUCUGCAAGGAGGACACACACAAAUUGAGAAUCUGGUCCAGACUUUU
Molecule: small nuclear RNA, 104 nt
Organism: Medicago truncatula (barrel medic)
Lineage: Eukaryota; Viridiplantae; Streptophyta; Magnoliopsida; Fabales; Fabaceae
Source: Rfam